GAUACGAACCACCGAGGGACUGGUGGGGAGUAUGGAAGAUGGAUAGAAAUGGAAUACGAACCGCCGAGGGACUGGUGGGGAGUAUGGGAAAACGCGGCGGCCGUAGCGUUCAAAAACGGCAAGUAAGAAUAGAGGCGCCGGUAAGAUUGAGUCACGCCGAGUCUUGGCGGGAAGGGGUCGUAAUACACUGCAAGGGGUAUGGACUACAUCCAAGGGAACCGGAUGCCGGGUGUACCAGGGCAGGCGACCUCAUAGGGAUGCAGCAAGAAAGGGGAGGGUUGGUCCGCUUGAGCUGUGUAGGUCCUAGAGUUAUAAGAUGAAUGGAAUCUUAAUUAAUAAACCGAAAUGUGUGAAUUGAGCGAUGACUGAGUUCAUUGCACUGCUUGUUUUGUGAAAUGAAACUUUAAUAGUUAGUUAGGAAUUGGGUGUAGUGACUAGUCGGUUCUCGUUUCGCAUUGAGCGGUAUAAAAGCUCAUGGGGGAGACUGGUCUAGAAUCGCUUCACUGAGUAUUCGUACUCACCCCUCCUUUUCCCUCUCAUUUUGCAGAACUAUAAGUGGAAAUGUCGACGGUAAGAAAGGAAACGCACCUGAAACUCAUGGGACCAGAAACGGGACACACGGAGAUGUCGGGAAAGUAGACAUGUGUGUCCUAAACCCCGCGCCCUGGAACCCCGGUUGGAAAUGGGGAGGGACGGGUGUUUCAAUUGGUAUCAGAGCCAGGUUAAGGUCCCUUAAUAUUAACUUAAGGGAUCAGUAUUUCCGCCAUCGUUCAUUCUUUCCUUAUGGUUCUGUUGGACCCGUUGUAGUCAGUGUUGAAAGAGAAUUCGAACAGCUCAGAGUCUUCGGCCGAGAUCAGAACAACAAAAGGUCUUGAACCGUAGUGUGGAGGAAUUUUAGAGGCCCAGGAAGGGAUUAACAAGGAGUUCUAAGACAAGUGCACAAAGGGAUCAGUUGCCUAGCACGACAGACUAAGGAGGAGCGGAAGAUCGGACAUACUAGCUUGAGAUGAUACGUCUCGCCGACAUCACCACCCCACGCCGGCCAGGAAGGUUAGGGGAUGAGGAUCAGACACAAGGUCGAGGCAUGCGCCGCCUCACGGAAGAGACAUCUCUACAGGAAAAAGCGAUGCAUCGUUCUGAUAUUACAGCCAAGCUCGUUUCCUAUAUAUAUAUAUAAAAUGGAAAAAGGCACCAAGUACUGAGCAAGGAGGAAAUGCUAGCACGGACUCUUCCAACAUCAGCAAGGUCGGAACCAAAGGCGACAUGGAGGCUGGGAAAAAGGAGCGGGCACGACAGGGAGUAGCACUUCGAUUUGGGAAAAUUACCCUAGAGUAAUUGGCUAAGCAGAUGAAAAAUAUAAGGGGAAACAAAGUGUCUCAACUCAAUGUCAAAGAUUCAAGUCCUUAAAGAUAGGCAUGAUGAGAGCUUUGUUGGUAAUAAACUACACAAUGACUAAAGACGAAGUAGCUAGAGGAAGGAGCUUCUCGAAGUCGCAACGAGGAUGACCAACUCCGGUUUACAGGGAGUAAACUAAGUAUCGUCUUACGGCAAAAUGUUUGAUGGAUGAUCAAUUUUUGGGAAACAAAGGAUACUAAUAAGGAUAGUGGAUCUUCGUAGGGAUGUCUUCACUAGUGCAUCAAGAGUUCGAGAAAGACACCUGCGCGAUAGACCAAAGGGGACAAAGCCGUAAACCCCACUACGACGCAGUGGGUAACAUGGUACCUGCCCUCUUCCCGGAUGAGGAGGAAAUAGAAUUCGUGGAGCAGCCGAACGCCCACAUCUGGGAGACAACUGUGAGGCGUCAGGUACUGAUGCCCCAUUUCCAGAAGGCGGCAGAGUAGAGUAUAGGCGGAUGUACCAAAGCCAUGGGACUAUCCAGUUCGCGCCUGAAGUCGAAACAACACCGGCCAAGAUGGGCCAUGGGCACCCAAGGAAGUUCGGAUUGACCGGGGAAGGUCUUGGACCGUUUAGGAUGGAGGUCAGUGUGCCAACAAGGGAGCAUGGACGACCAAGGAAAAUUCCUAGCAUUGAUGCGGACCGUCUGAGGAGCAUAACCGGAGUAUGUCAGUGUGGGACACUGAUGCAUGCCAAGCAAGAACCACGCUCAGUCCAGGAGUACACCGAGGAAUUCCGGGAGACAGCCAAAAGAUGCAAGCCAAAGACAUUGGAGGAUUGGUACCGAUGGUAUAUGGCAGGGUUCUGUGGGGAAAUUCAGGGCAAGCUGAUGGGUGUGUUCGAACCAUGGAAUUCGCUCUGGAGAACCGGAUAUUCGGUCAAGCGAUGGAGGCAGAGCGAACACUUACUGUCGGGUCGUCGCUAUCUAGAGAUCUAAGGGAGAAGUGGAAGUGGAAGAGGAUCUGCGGAAGACAUCGAUUAUGGAUGAAAGAACCUCAGGAGGAUGUACCGAGCCAUGCAAGUGUGAGAUCCUUGUUGAGAUAGUGUGUAGGCCACGCCUGGUCCAAGAGUACACUAAGGAGUUCUUAGACAUGGCCGAGAAAUGCAAGUCGAAGCCUGCGGAGGGGUAGUGCCGGUGUUAUAAGGCGAGACUCCGUAGGGACAUUCGAGGAGAGCUGAAUGGAGCCAUGGAAUCUAUGGAAUUUGCCUUAGUGGUGAGGAUGGCAGGGAUGGCGAUGGCAGCAAAGGCGUGGUUGUUAAACAUGUUAUUUAUGUCACAAGUGCUGAACAGGAAGAGAAUCCAUCAGAAGAUUAACAAUAGGAGGAUUAUCUGGAACCGUCAGCUAGAGGUGUCCGAGUGUUUGGUUAUUACUCGAGGCAGAAACACGCUUCUCCACUUUGUAGAGACUAGAUAUGAUCUUGAAAACAUCCCGUAUGAGUAGGAAUUAUGUUCUUCCUUAUUUACGUGGGAGUUUUCGAAAGAAGAUCCUUAAGAAAAUAUUGUGUGCCUCCCUUGAAUGUGUUUGAACUCACCCCGGGUUUUGGGAUGUUAGUGUUCAAAGCCUGAAGAUGGGAAUUCGGGGCGAAUUCCGAUUAACAGGGGGAGAAUUGUAACACCCCAAAACUCAAACCCAAAAAGUUUUUGUGGUUUAAAAGGAAAGGCCCGCUCUGCAGCCCAUUAAGAUUAAAACCCUAGGGUUUCCUUGCCUUCUUCUAUAAAUAUAAAGCCUCCACCCCUUAGUCUCCCAUCAGAAACUUUGAAGCGAAGCUCUGCAGAGAAAUCCCGGAGACCGGAAGCCCUAGCCGUCGAUGAUCUUUCUCUCUCCCUGCGCUGCCUCUCUUGCUUUUCUCCCUCCUCGCCGCGUCUCUCUCCUCUCUCUCUCCUCACGAUCUCUCUCUCUCCCGGUCGAAUCUCUCUCUCUCCUUGCCGUUAGCAGCCGCGAGUGGUGGUGGUGGCCGCGUGGUGUCGUAGAUCUCAGAUCCCGUUUCUCUUACCCCUUAUUUUCAGAUCCAGAUCCGGAUCUAGGCUAAGGUGAGGUGUUCUACCCAGAUCUCUUUCAUGUUCUUCUAUAUUGUUGAAUGUGGAUCUAGGAUUGAGUAGAUCCUGGUUGUUGUUAGGUUGAUAGACCAUGUUGCAUUAGAACUCUCGUACUGAUUUAGGAUUCUAAAUAAACCGGUGUGAUGAUGAUUGAUUGAUUGUUUGAUUGGUUGAAGAUCUGUGGUUGUGAUUGAGAGCUAGGAUGGUUAGAAAGAAAUGAACGUAGGAUCUCAAGAGAACUGUUAACCGGUCUGGUUAGAUGAAUGAUAGGAUAUCCAUGACUGAUUGUUAAAUGGAUUGAGUGUGACACCGAGAACGGGUGGCGUCUAAAAAAGGAAAGUAAGAAAGAGUCUAAGGGUUUAAGGAAAAAGGAAAUGAUAAGAAAAAGGAAAAGUUAAGAAAUGGAUACGAACCACCGAGGGACUGGUGGGGAGUAUGGAAGAUGGAUAGAAAUGGAAUACGAACCGCCGAGGGACUGGUGGGGAGUAUGGGAAAACGCGGCAGCCGUAGCGUUCAAAAACGGCAAGUAAGAAUAGAGGCGCCGGUAAGAUUGAGUCACGCCGAGUCUUGGCGGGAAGGGGUCGUAAUACACUGCAAGGGGUAUGGACUACAUCCAAGGGAACCGGAUGCCGGGUGUACCAGGGCAGGCGACCUCAUAGGGAUGCAGCAAGAAAGGGGAGGGUUGGUCCGCUUGAGCUGUGUAGGUCCUAGAGUU
This 4148-nucleotide long non-coding RNA is filed under the name Brassica rapa (field mustard). RNAcentral's name for it is "long non-coding RNA (BRAP_LNC005794)". The record is from RNAcentral. Lineage: Eukaryota; Viridiplantae; Streptophyta; Magnoliopsida; Brassicales; Brassicaceae.